AACGCACCUUGCGCUCCUUGGUAUUCCGAGGAGCAUGCCUGUUUGAGUGUCAUUAAUAUAUCAACCUCCUCAACUUGUGUUGAGUGUUGGAUGUGGGGGUUCUUUCUUUGCUGGCUUCACGGUCAGCUCCCCUGAAAUGCAUUAGCGGAACAACCUGUUCACUGUUCAUUGGCGUGAUAACUAUCUACGCUGCUUGUUGACAGUGAAGCAAGUUCAGCUUCUAACAGUCCAUUAAAUUGGACAAAUUUUUAUUAAUGUGACCUCAAAUCAGGUAGGACUACCCGCUGAACUUAA
Molecule: unclassified non-coding RNA, 294 nt
Filed under: uncultured fungus
Lineage: Eukaryota; Fungi
Also listed under: 1 other name
Description: partial contains 5.8S ribosomal RNA, internal transcribed spacer 2, and large subunit ribosomal RNA
Rfam family: 5.8S ribosomal RNA (bases 1-52)
Source: RNAcentral